Molecule: long non-coding RNA, 306 nt
Filed under: Pelobates cultripes (western spadefoot toad)
Lineage: Eukaryota; Metazoa; Chordata; Amphibia; Anura; Pelobatidae
Source: RNAcentral
GUAGCAGCUUGUCCACUACUUCUUCCCGCGACAGACUUCUGCCCGUAGAGACAGACGCUAUCCCUGAAUGUCCUUAAGAGGAAGUAGCUGUUGAUUUAAUGCGGUGGGACUGUAAGAGUGUAUGUGGUGUAUCACGGUCUAUUUCGUCAAUCUCUUGGUGAAGGAAGGUCGCGGUGGUCUGGUCGAUUGUCUGUUCAACUGUCUUUUGUAGGCAUUUCUUAAGACAGGGUAACACACAACAAACAAGAAGAGCGAGGAUGAUUAUCGUUAUUAAAAUGGCAACACCUAUUUGGGCCAGAGCACCUU